This 71-nucleotide transfer RNA is filed under the name Marmota monax (woodchuck). RNAcentral describes it as "tRNA.Ala". It matches the Rfam family "tRNA". From Rfam's summary of the family: Transfer RNA (tRNA) molecules are approximately 80 nucleotides in length. Their secondary structure includes four short double-helical elements and three loops (D, anti-codon, and T loops). The record is from RNAcentral. Lineage: Eukaryota; Metazoa; Chordata; Mammalia; Rodentia; Sciuridae.
GGGGUUGUGGCUCAGCGGUAGAGUGCUCACCUAGCAUGUGUGAGGCCCUGGGUUCCAUCCUCAGCACCACA